This 178-nucleotide ribosomal RNA is filed under the name uncultured bacterium. RNAcentral describes it as "partial 16S ribosomal RNA". It matches the Rfam family "Bacterial small subunit ribosomal RNA", at positions 1317 to 1500 of the family's 1533-position model. The record is from RNAcentral.
UCCAUGAAGCUGGAUUCGCUAGUAAUCGCGCAUCAGCCAUGGCGCGGUGGAAUACGUUCCCGGGGCCUUGUACACACCGCCCGUCAAGCCAUGGAAGCCGGGGGUGCCUGAAGUGCGUGACCGCAAGGAGCGCCCUAAGGUAAAACCGGUGACUGGGGCUAAGUCGUAACAAGGUACC